UGGGCCUUGAGGGAAAAGAACUGUGAAAUUUGGGUUCAAUUUAGUUGUUUUGAUCUGGACUUCUUUAUGAGUAGGGAGAAUUAAAUUGGCCACAUGUGACCUUGUAUUUAGAGGAAAUCAAAUCAUUCAAACAAGAUAAUUUAGCCCCUUGCUCAACAAUUCCUCCUUUUCUCUUCAACUCCAGGGUUAUUGAUUGAGGUCCUGCCUGAAUACAUUUUACUAGAGUUUAGAGAAUUGUAAUAGUUGCAUUGUUUCUCUGGUUACAACCUCAAAAUGCACUGCAGAUUUCUUCAACUGAAAUUGCUCCGAUGUUAAUAUGUUGUGGGAAUGAAAGACUGAUUUCAGCACUCAAGCUACACCAGAGGAAACAGCAGUGAGGAGAAACCAAGCAGCGAUCAUGGGACAAGAGGUCUUUUCUUCCUGUCUUCAUCUGCUGAUCUGCUCACCUGAUAUUCACUGAGUACCAAGUUUAUGCCAGGAAGUUCUCUUUUCUUAGCACAGAUGUCACCUCCCUGGGGACACCACCUUUGGAUACUCAGACUGAAUCAGGGCCCUCAAGAUACCUUCCAACAACACCCUGCACUAGUCUACAGAGUCACCACACAUGGAAUGAUUCGUAAUUAUUUACUUCUUUGUUAAAAAAGUUAUCAACAAUGCUGUAUGCUCAGGGUUCUUACAUACUAGAUAAAGUCUGUCAAUGGCCUUUUAAAAAU
This 713-nucleotide long non-coding RNA is filed under the name Pan troglodytes (chimpanzee). Its description in RNAcentral is "long non-coding RNA NONPTRT015580". Lineage: Eukaryota; Metazoa; Chordata; Mammalia; Primates; Hominidae. The record is from RNAcentral.